Molecule: ribosomal RNA, 112 nt
Filed under: Lactobacillus acidophilus
Lineage: Bacteria; Bacillati; Bacillota; Bacilli; Lactobacillales; Lactobacillaceae
Description: partial 23S ribosomal RNA
Rfam family: Bacterial large subunit ribosomal RNA
Source: RNAcentral
CUUUGCAAUAGCAGUAAGACACCUCAAAGACGAUGAGGUAGAUAGGCUGGGAGUGGAAGUUCUGUGAAGAAUGGAGCGGACCAGUACUAAUCAGUCGAGGACUUGACCAAAA